This 541-nucleotide long non-coding RNA is filed under the name Vigna radiata. RNAcentral's name for it is "long non-coding RNA (VRAD_LNC007814)". The record is from RNAcentral. Lineage: Eukaryota; Viridiplantae; Streptophyta; Magnoliopsida; Fabales; Fabaceae.
GGAAAUAGAUGGGUGAUGAAUUUAUGAUUGUGGUCAUGAUGCUAGGCAUGGUGUAUGAAUGAAUUGUGUGUGAGGAAGCAUGUGUGUGAGAUUUUGAGCUCUAGAGUUUUAUUGUUGCAUGUAUUGUUCGCAAGAAAACAUGGAUGAUAUUGCCUUAAUCUUGAUGAUCGAUUGAAUUGCAUGUGAAUGUCAUAUGAUCAAGGCCAUUUUUGAAAACCCUUCUCUAGCCAAAUUUUCACCCAAAAUGCUUAAAAAUAUUUUACCCUUUUUGAACCUUAGCCUUAAACAGUAUGUGAACCCUUGUUUUGAAAUUCUUUACCUUGAGUUGGGAUGAGCUUAAUUGGAUGUGAUAAAAAGGUUCAAGUUUGGGGUUCUUGGGGGAAAGUUGAAAAAGCAAGUGAAAAGCAUUGAGCUCAAAUGUUGUGAAAAGAAAAAUUCAUGAGAAAAAGAAAAGAAAAGGAGAAAAGCAUGAAGAAGAGCUCAAUGCAAAAGAAAAAGAAAAGGGAAAAGUUGGGAAUGAGAGAGAUUGGUGAGGAAGNNN